GCCGGCUUAGCUCAGCGGCAGAGCAACUGUUUCGUAAACAGUAGGUCCCCGGUUCGAAUCCGGGAGCCGGCUCCU
This 75-nucleotide transfer RNA is filed under the name Chloroflexota bacterium. Its description in RNAcentral is "Chloroflexi bacterium (sediment metagenome) tRNA-Thr". It matches the Rfam family "tRNA". Rfam says of the family: Transfer RNA (tRNA) molecules are approximately 80 nucleotides in length. Their secondary structure includes four short double-helical elements and three loops (D, anti-codon, and T loops). The record is from RNAcentral. Lineage: Bacteria; Bacillati; Chloroflexota. RNAcentral also lists the same sequence under 1 other name.